GGGUGUAAAUCUGCAGUGCACAGCCUGCUGGAGCGCUAAGUGUCCUUGGGGACCUUCAGCUGAGUACUAAAAGUUCCCUAAUGUGCACUAACUUACUGCGGUUUCAGAUAUUUGCCAACAUUUUCAAUAAAAUUGAAAGAAAAUGGGUUAUAUGCCAGUUAACACACAGGUCUUGAAAAUGGUUAUUGUAGUCUACUUUUCUUUUCUUUCUUUUUUUUUUUUAUUUGUUACCCAUCUGUCCUUCUCUUACUCCCAUCUGUUUCUUUCACUCAGUGUGCUGGAGUCUUGUUUCAUGACAUGGAGUCUAAGCUCUUAAUGUAGCACAGUAUAGGUUACCCAACUGAAAAUGCUUUUUGAGAAUAAAUCAUUGUCCUUGUAUUCUGUAGGAAGCAAACAACAUAGAUUGUGUUGUUAAUGUGUAUGAGAAAUCUUUCUUUCAACAGAAUGAAUAUUGUAACUAUCAAUAAAUGCCCUCUAAUUUCAGAUUAUGCACUUCAAAAUAAUACCAUAAAGGAUCAUCAGUUAUUGACUACUGUUUGGGGACCUUACAUAGAUUCCACUCCUUGCUGCUUUUUUAUAAGGAUUCAGCACUGCUGACGACCACUCUACCCCAGCCAGGAGGAAUGAGAGUACAGGCAAGUAAUGCCUCAAUCUACAUAUGCUUUAGGAUGUUCUUCUCCUUCCCCUCAAGCCAACAGCCAUUUCUUUGACAAUAAUUUAAGCCACUAUCCUGCAAAACAAGGGCACAUUUAUUUUAAGCACAGGAGUAGCCCCGUUGAAAUCCAUCUAGCCAUAACUGUUUUGCUGUCACACUUACUUUAACAGUACAAUGAUCAGAAAUACUUAUUCUUGGCCUAUAUACAUAACUUACUACCUUUAACUAGAGUUCAGGUAAUGAGGGAAGGAAGAUUUUUGCAAAAUUUGACACACUCCAUUUUUCAGGGAGACACUGAAAUUUAUGACUAGUUCUACUUUAAAGGGAUAAAACAAAAAAGCACCUGAAACCUCUCUGCUUUUCUCUUUCCCUCUUCCCAUCCUCCCCAAGUCUCUUUCCCUUUUCUGCCUAUGUCUGUAUGUUUUUUUAUUACUAUUAUUGGUACCUCUACCCUGACAUGUUAAGUUUGUGUAAUAAUAUCUGAUUUUGUAUUAUCC
This 1152-nucleotide long non-coding RNA is filed under the name Gopherus agassizii (Agassiz's desert tortoise). RNAcentral's name for it is "lncRNA (ENSGAGG00000008442.1)". The record is from RNAcentral. Lineage: Eukaryota; Metazoa; Chordata; Testudines; Testudinidae.